GCACGAGCGCACCCCUGUUCUUAGUUGCCAGCGAGUAAUGUCGGGGACUCUAAGAAGACUGCCGGUGAAAGUCGGAGGAAGGUGGGGAUGACGUCAAGUCCUCAUGCCCUUUAUAUCUCGGGCUACACACGUGCUACAAUGGCUGAUACAAAGGGGAGCAAAGCUGCGAAGUGGAGCAAAUCCUAUAAAAUCAGUCCCAGUUCGGAUUGCAGGCUGCAACUCGCCUUGCUAUGAAGUUUGGAAUCGCUAGUAAUCGCAGGUCAGCAUACCGCGG
This 274-nucleotide ribosomal RNA is filed under the name Halanaerobium sehlinense. Its description in RNAcentral is "partial 16S ribosomal RNA". It matches the Rfam family "Bacterial small subunit ribosomal RNA", at positions 1090 to 1362 of the family's 1533-position model. Lineage: Bacteria; Bacillati; Bacillota; Clostridia; Halanaerobiales; Halanaerobiaceae. The record is from RNAcentral.